Molecule: ribosomal RNA, 253 nt
Filed under: uncultured beta proteobacterium
Lineage: Bacteria; Pseudomonadati; Pseudomonadota; Betaproteobacteria
Description: partial 16S ribosomal RNA
Rfam family: Bacterial small subunit ribosomal RNA
Source: RNAcentral
UACGUAGGGUGCGAGCGUUAAUCGGAAUUACUGGGCGUAAAGCGUGCGCAGGCGGCGCCGCAAGUCAGGCGUGAAAUCCCCGGGCUUAACCUGGGAAUGGCGCUUGAAACUACGGUGCUGGAGUGUGGCAGAGGGAGGUGGAAUUCCACGUGUAGCGGUGAAAUGCGUAGAGAUGUGGAGGAACACCGAUGGCGAAGGCAGCCUCCUGGGCCAACACUGACGCUCAUGCACGAAAGCGUGGGGAGCAAACAGG